RNAcentral lists this long non-coding RNA (234 nucleotides) under Gossypium barbadense (sea-island cotton). Its description in RNAcentral is "long non-coding RNA (GBAR_LNC012364)". Lineage: Eukaryota; Viridiplantae; Streptophyta; Magnoliopsida; Malvales; Malvaceae. The record is from RNAcentral.
CAUCAUCAACCAUAUCUCAAAACUUUUCAGCCUCAUGUUUAAGAAUCUUAUCAACAGGUGGCUUACUCAGUCGAAUCGGAUCUAUUACUUGCGGCACAACCGGGACUUGUUGAGAAACAGGUGGGGGUGGAGGUUGUUGAGUAGCUAGAUUCAUUCGUACGAAUUUUGUGAAUCACUUAGUCAUCAUUUGGAAGAAGGCUUGCUUAGCCUCUCCUCUCUGACUACUAGAUAUCA